UUAAAGAAAUAAGCUUUGCCUAUGAAGUUUUGUCGAAUCCAGAAAAGAGAGAUAUGUACGAUCGUUUUGGAGAGCAGGGUCUACGAGAAGGUGGAGGGGGUGGUGGAAUGGAUGACAUCUUUUCACACAUUUUUGGUGGAGGACUUUUCAGCUUUAUGGGUGGCCACAAUAGAAAUCGAAAUGGCAGACGGAGAGGAGAAGACAUGCUUCACCCACUCAAAGUAUCUUUAGAAGAUCUGUAUAAUGGAAAGACAACUAAAUUACAACUUAG
Molecule: long non-coding RNA, 271 nt
Organism: Protopterus annectens (West African lungfish)
Lineage: Eukaryota; Metazoa; Chordata; Ceratodontiformes; Protopteridae
Exons: 2
Source: RefSeq, a predicted model, not a curated record